UGAGGAAUAUUGGUCAAUGGGCGGAAGCCUGAACCAGCCAAGUCGCGUGAGGGAAUAAGGCCCUAUGGGUCGUAAACCUCUUUUGUCGGGGAGCAAAGCCAUGUUCGUGAACAUGGAAGGAGAGUACCCGAAGAAAAAGCAUCGGCUAACUCCGUGCCAGCAGCCGCGGUAAUACGGAGGAUGCGAGCGUUAUCCGGAUUUAUUGGGUUUAAAGGGUGCGUAGGCGGACAGUUAAGUCAGCGGUAAAAUGGCGGGGCUCAACCCCGUCCGGCCGUUGAAACUGGUUGUCUAGAGUGAGUGAGAAGUAAGCGGAAUGCGUGGUGUAGCGGUGAAAUGCAUAGAUAUCACGCAGAACCCCGAUUGCGAAGGCAGCUUACCGGCGCUCAACUGACGCUGAGGCACGAAAGUGCGGGGAUCGAACAGG
This 424-nucleotide ribosomal RNA is filed under the name uncultured bacterium. Its description in RNAcentral is "bacterial SSU rRNA". It matches the Rfam family "Bacterial small subunit ribosomal RNA", at positions 355 to 776 of the family's 1533-position model. The record is from RNAcentral.